Molecule: unclassified non-coding RNA, 339 nt
Filed under: soil metagenome
Description: partial contains 5.8S ribosomal RNA, internal transcribed spacer 2, and large subunit ribosomal RNA
Rfam family: 5.8S ribosomal RNA (bases 1-120)
Source: RNAcentral
GAUGAAGAACGCAGCGAAAUGCGAUAACUAAUGUGAAUUGCAGAAUUCAGUGAAUCAUCGAGUCUUUGAACGCACAUUGCGUCCCCUGGUAUUCCGGGGGGCAUGCCUGUCCGAGCGUCAUUGCUGCCCUCAAGCACGGCUUGUGUGUUGGGCUCCGUCCCCCCGGGGACGGGCCCGAAAGGCAGCGGCGGCACCGAGUCCGGUCCUCGAGCGUAUGGGGCUUUGUCACCCGCUCUGUAGGCCCGGCCGGCGCCAGCCGACAACCCAUCAUCCUUUUCAGGUUGACCUCGGAUCAGGUAGGGAUACCCGCUGAACUUAAGCAUAUCAAUAAGCGGAGGA